This 102-nucleotide ribosomal RNA is filed under the name uncultured bacterium. Its description in RNAcentral is "partial 16S ribosomal RNA". It matches the Rfam family "Bacterial small subunit ribosomal RNA", at positions 1384 to 1482 of the family's 1533-position model. The record is from RNAcentral.
UACACACCGCCCGUCACACCAUGGGAGUCGGUUGCUCCAGAAGUGGAUACGCCAACCCGCAAGGGAGGCAGUCCCCCCAAGGAGUGGCUGGUAACUGGGGUG